CCUACGGGAGGCAGCAGUGGGGAAUUUUCCGCAAUGGGCGAAAGCCUGACGGAGCAAUACCGCGUGAGGGAGGAAGGCUCUUGGGUUGUAAACCUCUUUUGUCAGGGAAGAAGAUCUGACGGUACCUGACGAAUCAGCAUCGGCUAACUCCGUGCCAGCAGCCGCGGUAAUACGGGGGAUGCAAGCGUUAUCCGGAAUUAUUGGGCGUAAAGCGUCCGCAGGUGGUUGUUCAAGUCUGCUGUUAAAGCAUGGGGCUUAAUUCCAUAUAGGCAGUGGAAACUGGACGACUAGAGUACGGUAGGGGUCGCGGGAAUUCCCAGUGUAGCGGUGAAAUGCGUAGAUAUUGGGAAGAACACCAAGUGGCGAAAGCGCGCGGCUGGACCUGUACUGACACUGAGGGACGAAAGCUAGGGGAGCGAAAGGGAUUAGAUACCCCUGUAGUCCUAGCUGUAAACGAUGGAUACUAGGUGUUGCCCGUAUCGACCCGGGCAGUGCCGUAGCUAACGCGUUAAGUAUCCGCCUGGGGAGUACGCACGCAAGUGUGAAACUUAAAGAUAGUAGCGNGNGAGUAGCGACGACGCACGAGGAGUAGAG
This 594-nucleotide ribosomal RNA is filed under the name uncultured bacterium. Its description in RNAcentral is "bacterial SSU rRNA". It matches the Rfam family "Bacterial small subunit ribosomal RNA", at positions 338 to 951 of the family's 1533-position model. The record is from RNAcentral.